AUUUAUAUGAAUUUAAGGGCAAAGGUCAAAAUUAGAGUAUAUCUGACAUAGACUUGGACCUCAAUUCAGUUUCAAACCAGGACUUAAAUCAAAGACCAAGGUCUUUAAUAUGUUGGUUUAUUAGUAUAGUACUUUACGCGUAUCUACAUGUAAGAUGGAAAUCUAUUUCCUGCCACUUUCAAUAAAAUAUACAAGUAGUGAAUGUCGUAACGUAAAUUAUUUUGUCGAUAUGUCAUUUAAGUAUUUGAAAUAAUGAAGAAUAGCCAAAAUAAUUUUAGAAUAUGACCUUUGACCUUUGCUUGCCUUUCAUUUUUAUUAUUUUGGACCAAGGAAGCUCAUCUGAAAGCCUAUUGUUUUAUCCUUAUGGUUACCAUUCUAAGAAAUGGUCAUAUCAAUUAUUAAGGGAAGGGAAUAACUCUCAUAUGGAGUCUCCGUAAUAGCUUCGGUCCAAAUGAUAUUCUAAUCUGAAGAUGUAACGAGCAAUUUGGUAAAAUAAAUUUGUCGUAUCUUUAAGGGUUGCGGAAGGAGUAGUGGCCACAAGAAAAACAGUGUUUGGGGAGAUAACUCUUAACGACGUAAGUAUUUGUUACAACAGUUGUAAAUUUUUAAGCGUAUACACUUACGAUACAUAUUCCAUAUCUAAGCGACAUCUUUGAACAUCAAUAAUCCGCCAAGAAAAAAAAUUAGGUCGGAAGAAAAAAAAAAAAACUUAAUAAUAAUUAAAAACCAAUUGUUCAGAGAACAAUUGUAGGUCUUUCCACUAGAAAAGAUCUUUUUUGAUAUUGAAAUAUUAAAAAUCAGUUUAAAAUGUUAGUUCCUAUGGCUGUAUGAUGUAUUUAUAUGAAUUUAAAGCAAAGGUCAAAAUCUAGAACGUCAUAUUAACCUAUGACCUUGACCUCAAUUUCAAGUUCACAAACCAAGGACCUUAAAUCAAAAGACCCAAGGUCUUUAAUAUGUUUGGUUUAUUAGUAAUAUCACUUUACGCGUAAUUCUAAAUGUAAGAUGGGCAAAAACUCCUAUUUAUUGUCUGCGCACCCUUUCAAUCAAAAUAUACAAGUAAGGACAUGUCGCAACUAACAAUUUAUGAAAAAUUAUUUGUCGAUAUGUCAUAAGGUAUUUGAAAAUAAAUGAAAAUAAGCCAAAAUCAAAAUUUAGAAUAUGACCUUGACCUUUGACCUUGACCUCAUUUUUAUUAUUUUCGACCAAGGACCCCAAAUCUAAAGACCCUAUGUCUUUAUCACUUACGGUUUACCAUUUAGAAAUGCAUAUCACUUAAUUUAAGGGAAAAGGGGGAAUAACUCUCAUAUGGAGUCUCCGUAAAGCUUCGGUCCAAAUGAAUAUCCUAAUCCUGAAGAUGUAACGAGCAAUUUGGUAAAAUAAAUUUGUCGUAAUCUUUAACGGUUGUGAAGGAGUAGUGGCCACAAGAAAAACAGUGUUUGGGGAGAUAACUCUUACAACGUAAAGUAUUUUGUUACACAGUUGUAAAUUUUUAAAGCGUAUAAACUAUACGAUACCAUAUUCCAAAUAUCUAAGCGACAUCUUUUGAAACAUCAAUAAUACGCAAGAAAAAAAUUAGGCGAAGAAAAAAAAAAAAAUAUAUAAUUAAGAAACGCACUUGUUAGAGAACAAUUGAAGGUCUUUCCACAAGUAAAGGUCUAUUUUGAUAUUGAAAUAUGAAAAAUCAGUUUAAAACGUUAGUUCCUAUGGCUUUAUGAUGUAUUAAUAUGAAUUUAAACCAAAGGUCAAAAUCUAGAACGUCCUUUUAACCUAUGACCUUGACCUAAAUUUCAAGGUCACAAAUCAAGGACCUUAAAUCAUAAGACCCUAGGUCUUUAAUAUGUUUGGUUAAUGAGUAAUACCACUUUACGCAUAAUUCUAAAUGUAAGAUGGACAAAAACUCCAAUUUAUUGUAUGCGCACCCUUUCAAC
This 1928-nucleotide long non-coding RNA is filed under the name Mytilus galloprovincialis (Mediterranean mussel). Lineage: Eukaryota; Metazoa; Mollusca; Bivalvia; Mytilida; Mytilidae. The record is from RNAcentral.